RNAcentral lists this ribosomal RNA (422 nucleotides) under uncultured prokaryote. RNAcentral describes it as "bacterial SSU rRNA". It matches the Rfam family "Bacterial small subunit ribosomal RNA", at positions 355 to 774 of the family's 1533-position model. The record is from RNAcentral.
UCGAGGAUAUUUAGCAAUGGGCGAAAGCCUGACUAUGUGACGCCGCGUGAGGGAUGAAGGUCUUCGGAUUGCAAACCUCUUUCGAUAGGGAAGAAAAUUCCGGUUAACUGCUGGAACUGACGGUACCUAGAGAAGAAGCCAUGGCUAACUCUGUGCCAGCAGCCGCGGUAAUACAGAGAUGGCGAGCGUUACUCGGAUUUAUUGGGUGUAAAGGGCAGGUAGGCGGCUAUGCAAGUUGGGGGUGAAAUCCUGUGGCUCAACCACAGAACUGCCUUCAAAACUGCAUGGCUUGAGGCUAGAAGAGGAGAGCGGAAUUCCCGGUGUAAGAGUGAAAUCUGUAGAUAUCGGGAGGAACACCAGUGGCGAAAGCGGCUCUCUAGUCUAGCCCUGACGCUAAGCUGCGAAAGCUAGGGGAGCAAACA